CUUGCUGAUGCUUUCAUUUCCAGAACCUGGCCCUGCCUGUUUCGAAUCAAGUGCUGAUAGAGCUGUCUUAUGUGCACCAACAAGUUCCAUAAAAUCAGACCCUGAAUUCAGAAUAUCAUUAUAAUUUCCAGCCUGGGUAAUCCUUCCGUCCUUCAUGACCUAUCCAAAAGUUAUAAGGUGAACUCAAUGAAUCAACUAGUUGAGAUGACAAGUCCCAAAAGCAUUGAAGAAAGAGAUGUGAUUACUCACCAAUAUUAGAUCAGCCGGAGGUAAGAAUUCAACUUGAUGAGUAACAUAAAUAACAGUUUUCGAACUCAUUAGGCCAAGCAAAACUUCCUGUAUUGUAAUGAUAGAACAAAUAUAUUUUAUUAGAAGAACCAUUCUAUUUUAUGCACAUAAAGACAACAUUAAAGGAAAAAUAAAAUGGCAGACUAGCAGAAACCAACAAAUUUUUUUAUUUUAUUGGAAGUGCAUAACCGAACAACAAAAUAGCCUGCAAAUAUGUCCAAGGGAAUUAGGAAACAAAAAUUUCCUUACCUUAAAUAAAUGAGAUCCAGUAUGUGCAUCGACAGCACUAAAAGGAUCAUCAAAUAGAUAGAUAUCAGCAUCUUGGUAGAGAGCCCGUGCAAUCUGUAUUCUUUGUUUCUGGCCACCACUCAGAUUGAUACCCCUCUCACCUAUAACUGUUUGGUCACCAAAAGAGAGGAUUUCCAGGUCCUUCUUCAAGGAACAAGCCUCCAGUAUCCUUUCAUACCUUUCUCUGUCCAUCUUCUCACCAAAUAAUAUGUUCUCCUCAAUCUUGCCACUCUGUAUCCAAGGUGACUGCGCAACAUAAGCCUUUUUACCACACAACCUGACUGUCCCAGAGAUCUUGGGGACCUCUCCCAAAAUGCAAGAAAGUAAACUUGAUUUGCCCGAACCAACAGUACCACAUACAGCAACCCUCAUUCCAUGGAAUACUUUAAAAUUGAUAUCUUUUAAUGUUGGGUUAGGAGAAGACAAAUCCCAAGAGAAAUUCCCAUCAAUUAUCUCAAUUGCAGUGUCAGAACUGCCUCUUGGAAACUUCUCUACAAGAUCAGACUGUAAAUCAUCAAGACGGAGGAAAGAUGCAAUUCUAUCAAGGGAAACCUUGGUCUGAACUAUCAUUGAAAUUGUGUCAGGAAGAUUAUAGAUAGGCUCUUGAAGAAUCCUG
RNAcentral lists this long non-coding RNA (1192 nucleotides) under Manihot esculenta (cassava). RNAcentral's name for it is "long non-coding RNA (MESC_LNC001841)". The record is from RNAcentral. Lineage: Eukaryota; Viridiplantae; Streptophyta; Magnoliopsida; Malpighiales; Euphorbiaceae.